Molecule: ribosomal RNA, 482 nt
Filed under: uncultured bacterium
Lineage: Bacteria
Description: partial 16S ribosomal RNA
Rfam family: Bacterial small subunit ribosomal RNA
Source: RNAcentral
AUUGAACGCUGGCGGCAGGCCUAACACAUGCAAGUCGAGCGGAUGAAGGGAGCUUGCUCCUGGAUUCAGCGGCGGACGGGUGAGUAAUGCCUAGGAAUCUGCCUGGUAGUGGGGGAUAACGUCCGGAAACGGGCGCUAAUACCGCAUACGUCCUGAGGGAGAAAGUGGGGGAUCUUCGGACCUCACGCUAUCAGAUGAGCCUAGGUCGGAUUAGCUAGUUGGUGGGGUAAAGGCCUACCAAGGCGACGAUCCGUAACUGGUCUGAGAGGAUGAUCAGUCACACUGGAACUGAGACCCGGUCCAGACUCCUACGGGGGGCAGCAGUGGGGAAUAUUGGACCAUGGGCGAAAGCCUGAUACAGCCAUGCCGCGUGUGAAGAAGGUCUUCGGAUUGUAAAGCACUUUAAGUUGGGAGGAAGGGCAGUAAGUUAAUACCUUGCUGUUUUGACGUUACCAACAGAAUAAGCACCGGCUAACUUCGUG